Molecule: ribosomal RNA, 468 nt
Filed under: uncultured bacterium
Lineage: Bacteria
Description: partial 16S ribosomal RNA
Rfam family: Bacterial small subunit ribosomal RNA
Source: RNAcentral
GACGAACGCUGGCGGCGUGCUUAACACAUGCAAGUCGAACGGAAAGGCCCUGCUGUUGUGGGGUGCUCGAGUGGCGAACGAAUGAGUAACACGUGAGUAACCUGCCCUUGACUUUGGGAUAACUUCAGGAAACUGGGGCUAAUACCGGCUAGGAGCCACUGCUGCAUGGUGGGGGUUGGAAAGUUUCGGCGGUUUGGGAUGGACGCGCGGUUAAUCUGCUGGUUAGUCGGGUAGUGGCUUACCAAGGCCUUGACAGGUAGCCGGCCUGUGACGGUAACCAGCCACAUGGGGCCUGAGAGACGGCCCAGACGCGUACCUGAGGCAGCAGGGGAGAGUAUUGCACAAUGGGGCGACGCCUGAUGCAGCAACUCCGCGUGCGGGAUGACGUCCUUCGGGUGGUAAACCGAUUUCGCCUGUGACGAAGCGUGAGUGACGGUAAUGAGUAAAGAAGCACCGGCUAACUACGUG